AGCGGCGGAUGGGUGAGUAACACGUGGGGAACCUGCCCCUAAGUCUGGGAUACCAUUUGGAAACAGGUGCUAAUACCGGAUAAUAAAGCAGAUCGCAUGAUCAGCUUUUGAAAGGCGGCGUAAGCCGUCGCUAAGGGAUGGCCCCGCGGUGCAUUAGCUAGUUGGUAAGGUAACGGCUUACCGAGGCGACGAUGCAUAGCCGAGUUGAGAGACUGAUCGGCCACAUUGGGACUGAGACACGGCCCAAACUCCUACGGGAGGCAGCAGUAGGGAAUCUUCCACAAUGGACGAAAGUCUGACGGAGCAACGCCGCGUGAGUGAAGAAGGGUUUCGGCUCGUAAAGCUCUGUUGGUAGUGAAGAAAGAUAGAAGUAGUAACUGGCCUUUAUUUGACGGUAAUUACUUAGAAAGUCACGGCUAACUACGUGCCAGCAGCCGCGGUAAUACGUAGGUGGCAAGCGUUGUCCGGAUUUAUUGGGCGUAAAGCGAGUGCAGGCGGUUCAAUAAGUCUGAUGUGAAAGCCUUCGGCUCAACCGGAGAAUUGCACCAGAAACUGUUGAACUUGAGUGCAGAAGAGGAGAGUGGAACUCCAUGUGUAGCGGUGGAAUGCGUAGAUAUAUGGAAGAACACCAGUGGCAAGGCGGCUCUCUGGUCUGCAACUGACGCUGAGACUCGAAAGCAUGGGUAGCGAACAGGAUUAGAUACCCUGGUAGUCCAUGCCGUAAACGAUGAGUGCUAAGUGU
Molecule: ribosomal RNA, 742 nt
Filed under: uncultured bacterium
Lineage: Bacteria
Description: bacterial SSU rRNA
Rfam family: Bacterial small subunit ribosomal RNA
Source: RNAcentral